GAUGAACGCUGGCGGCGGGCCUAAUACAUGCAAGUCGAGCGAACGGACGAGAAGCUUGCUUUUCUGAUGUUAGCGGCGGACGGGUGAGUAACACGUGGAUAACCUACCUAUAAGACUGGGAUAACUUCGGGAAACCGGAGCUAAUACCGGAUAAUAUUUUGAACCGCAUGGUUCAAAAGAGAAAGACGGUCUUGCUGUCACUUAUAGAUGGAUCCGCGCUGCAUUAGCUAGUUGGUAAGGUAACGGCUUACCAAGGCAACGAUGCAUAGCCGACCUGAGAGGGUGAUCGGCCACACUGGAACUGAGACACGGUCCAGACUCCAACGGGAGGCAGCAGUAGGGAAUCUUCCACAAUGGGCGAAAGCCUGACGGAGCAACGCCGCGUGAGUGAUGAAGGUCUUCGGAUUGUAAAACACUUUUAUUAGGGAAGAAGAUAUGUGUAAGUAACUGUUCACAUCUUGACGGUACCUAAUCAGAAAGCCACGGCUAACUACGUG
Molecule: ribosomal RNA, 497 nt
Filed under: uncultured bacterium
Lineage: Bacteria
Description: partial 16S ribosomal RNA
Rfam family: Bacterial small subunit ribosomal RNA
Source: RNAcentral